This 343-nucleotide unclassified non-coding RNA is filed under the name soil metagenome. RNAcentral's name for it is "partial contains 5.8S ribosomal RNA, internal transcribed spacer 2, and large subunit ribosomal RNA". The stretch from base 1 to 120 matches the Rfam family "5.8S ribosomal RNA", at positions 35 to 154 of the family's 154-position model. The record is from RNAcentral.
GAUGAAGAACGGAGCGAAAUGCGAUAAGUAAUGUGAAUUGCAGAAUUCAGUGAAUCAUCGAAUCUUUGAACGCACAUUGCGCCCGCUAGUAUUCUGGCGGGCAUGCCUGUCCGAGCGUCAUUUCAACCCUCAAGCCCCCGGGCUUGGUGUUGGGGAUCGGCGAGCCUCCGCGCCCGCCGUCCCCUAAAUCUAGUGGCGGUCUCGCUGUAGCUUCCUCUGCGUAGUAGCACACCUCGCACUGGGAAACAGCGCGGCCACGCCGUUAAACCCCCAACUUCUGAACGUUUGACCUCGGAUCAGGCAGGAAUACCCGCUGAACUUAAGCAUAUCAAUAAGCGGAGGA